Molecule: ribosomal RNA, 328 nt
Filed under: uncultured Chloroflexota bacterium
Lineage: Bacteria; Bacillati; Chloroflexota
Description: bacterial SSU rRNA
Rfam family: Bacterial small subunit ribosomal RNA
Source: RNAcentral
GAUGAACGCUGGCGGCGUGCCUAAUACAUGCAAGUCGAACGGAGAACAUCGUAGCAAUACUUUGUUCUUAGUGGCGAACGGGUGAGUAACGCGUUGGUGACCUGCCCCGAAGAGGGGGAUAACAGUCCGAAAGGACUGCUAAUACCCCAUGUGGUCUCAGGGAUUAGAUGCCCUGAGUCUAAAGGAGUAAUCCACUUUGGGAGGGACCUGCGUCCCAUCAGCUAGUUGGUAAGGUAACGGCCUACCAAGGCUUCGACGGGUAGGGGACCUGAGAGGGUGAUCCCCCACACUGACACUGAAAUACGGGUCAGACACCUACGGGAGGCAG